This 205-nucleotide long non-coding RNA is filed under the name Ananas comosus (pineapple). RNAcentral's name for it is "long non-coding RNA (ACOM_LNC025330)". Lineage: Eukaryota; Viridiplantae; Streptophyta; Magnoliopsida; Poales; Bromeliaceae. The record is from RNAcentral.
CGCAUGACGAGGAUAUCGGUGCUUAAAAGAGAGAAGAAUGUAACAUUUCCGAAAUUUAAAAUCGUUUUAUAUACAGGAUAUAUUAGGGCAAAACUUUUUAACCCAGUUAUAACAUUUUGGACUAUGCUUAGAUUCAAAAGGUAAGAAAAUCAAACAUGUUAGCGCUAAAAUAAUUCUAAAAUAGACAACUCUAUGAAAAGUGGGG